GAUGAACGCUGGCGGCGUGCCUAAUACAUGCAAGUCGAGCGAACAGACGAGGAGCUUGCUCCUCUGACGUUAGCGGCGGACGGGUGAGUAACACGUGGAUAACCUACCUAUAAGACUGGGAUAACUUCGGGAAACCGGAGCUAAUACCGGAUAAUAUAUUGAACCGCAUGGUUCAAUAGUGAAAGACGGUUUUGCUGUCACUUAUAGAGGGAUCCGCGCCGCAUUAGCUAGUUGGUAAGGUAACGGCUUACCAAGGCAACGAUGCGUAGCCGACCUGAGAGGAUGAUCGGCCACACUGGAACUGAGACACGCUCCAGACUCCUACGGGAGGCAGCAGUAGGGAAUCUUCCGCAAUGGGCGAAAGCCUGACGGAGCAACGCCGCGUGAGUGAUGAAGGUCUUCGGAUCGUAAAACUCUGUUAUUAGGGAAGAACAAAUGUGUAAGUAACUAUGCACGUCUUGACGGUACCUAAUCAGAAAGCCACGGCUAACUACGUG
Molecule: ribosomal RNA, 497 nt
Filed under: uncultured bacterium
Lineage: Bacteria
Description: partial 16S ribosomal RNA
Rfam family: Bacterial small subunit ribosomal RNA
Source: RNAcentral